Molecule: RNA transcript, 6605 nt
Organism: Mus musculus (house mouse)
Lineage: Eukaryota; Metazoa; Chordata; Mammalia; Rodentia; Muridae
Gene name: RIKEN cDNA 9330154J02 gene
Exons: 3
Source: RefSeq, a predicted model, not a curated record
CCUCUCUCAGGGCAGGAUCGGAUGAGCGACCUGGGACAAGCGGGAGAGAAGCGUGAGGAGGAGUGACGGCCGCAGCUCCCCGAUGUGAAAAGGGGAGCAGAGCCGUACAGCUGUCGCCUACUCUCGACUCCCCAGUUCCUGGCCACCCAGCUCCCCGAUCCCGAGAGGAUCCAGACAUCUCCAGAAAAACGGAGGGAACCCGCCAACAAAGCGGCCGUGGGACCGUGGGCGGUGUGGCAGCCAGGACCCCCCCCCCCCCGGCUCUCUUCACGCCCUAGUAUAGAAAGGAACCCUGGUCCCGCCUCCAGGCUCCAAACCUGGCCGCUCGGUCCCCACUGCUCACCUCCGCACCCCGCGCCUGCAAAGCCAACUCCGAGGGCCACCCGAGUCCACGCGCCUUCCCAGCUCCUGCUGCGGGCGCCGACUCUCCUCUCAACCCCAGCCCCUGGCCCAACCUCCACGGCUGGGAAAAACCAAGCCGGGGGGCGGGGGAGGGCCAGGGCUGCAGGAGAGAUCGCCGCCGCGCUGGCCACCUCUGCUGCCCCAGGUAGGGGCUUCAGGGAGGGAUACGAGGGGCAACCUAGGCUGGGCGACUCCCCUAGGCGGAGAUAAAUGAGCAACGCAUCCCGAGAAGGUGAGGGAUUCCCCUUCUGUUCCCCCUCCCCGGCAUCCUUUGGUGGUUCCGUAUUUUGCAUAGCGUAUUUACCUCGGACAGAAACAAAACCGCUGGUGGACCUCUUGGAAUUCACGCUGCUUCUGGCACCGCUGGCAGUGAGGAGAGGGAUUUAAGCGUGAGCAAAGCAGCAGUAGAAGAAGGAGCUGCACAGGUUACAUCCGCCGCGGCAAACGCCUGGGUUGUGAGGGAGAUUCAGAAAGUCUCCUCUCUCGUGGCUCGGUUUGGCUGGCAACUUCAGUUUAUGAGACCCUACCGCAUGGAUUGGUGCCAUCCUCUUCCAAAUCCUUCCUGGGUAUGCGCAAAGGCUUGUCUCCUGGGUGAUUUCAGAUCCUGCUAAGGUGGCAAUAUUAGCCAUCACAUACUGCAAAUACUUUGCUGAGCUAUCUCUCCAACCUCUUACUUUGCAUAUAUAUUUAAUUCUAUUUCUUCUACGAUAGACUCGUGUGUAUAUAUCAUAUGCAUCACUUACAAUUUUUCUUAAUUUAAGAAUAUAUUUUAUAAAAAAGAGUUAAAAAAUAUAUUUUAUGUCUGUAUAUAUGCUAUUUGUGUAUGUGCGUGUGUGUGUGUGUGUGUGUGUGUGUGUGUGUGUUUGUAGGGGUGCAUUCAUGUGCAGACAGAUAUUCAUUCACAGGGGUGUGAGUAUAUAUGUGGAAUGUGGAGUGCUGUUCAUCACACAGUCUCACCCUGGCCUGGAAGUGACCAAGUCGGCUGGUCUGUCAGGCCAACAAACUCUAGUAAUCUAGGUCUCUGUACUGCUAGUGCAAGGAUUGCAAACCCUUAUUGAAUAAUGUGAGAACUGAAAUAUUCUCACCAGCAAACUUACCUGUAUGCUUGAAAGGCAAUAAUCACUUUACCAGCUGAGCCACCUGCCCAUCUUGCUUUCUUCCUUAGGACUGUACAAUAUUUCAUACUGUGGACUACUAUGCUAUACUUGUUUUUGUCAUUAAGAAACAAAGUCUUAAGUAAAUAUCUAAGAGAGAGAGAGAGAGACAAACAGACAGACAGACAAAGUCUUACUGUGAAGCCCUGGCUGGCCAGAAACCCCGUGUAAACCAGGCUGACUUUAUUAUCCUCCUGCCUCUGCCUCCCAAGGGCUUGAUUGCAGGCAUGUGCCACCAUGCGUGGCUUACACUACAGAUUUUUAACAGCAUGAUUGCAACAUGGAUAACUACUUUUAAAGACGUUUCCCACAAGUGAGAAAACCUUACCAGGAUCAGUUCUAUUUUGAUUGUUUUAGGCAUUUAAUUAUACUAAAUUAUCAUACUUACUUUACUCUUGACAGCUUGAAAAUUUUUUGUGCAUAAUGCUAUUUACAUGCUCUGAAGCAGGACAGAGGGUUUCAGAGUACAUCUUCAAAAGUGGAAGAUCUCACUCAAUGCCCUUGCAAAAUCAAUUUAAUAUAUUUCCCAAGGUCAUGUUAUAGCCUCUAGUAAAAUUACCCUACAAUAACAUUUAUGUAGAAGAUUAUUACUUCAGGAGUCAUUUUUCUUCUAAUAACCCAAAGGAAAGUCACUUAAAAAGAUAUUACUGAAAUAUUGAUGUAAAUCUUGGAGCUUCAGGGAAAUUAAGGAAGGAAGGAAGGAAGGAAGGAAGGAAGGAAGGAAGAGUGAUACUAACAACCUUAAGUGAUACCCAGCAGAGAGAAGCCUGGAGGUUCAACAAGCCAAACACCAAGGCUCUUUAAAAUUAGUUUACUUUUGGUCUUCGCCUAAAAUCAGCAAAGGAAUUGAUGAAGGGAACACUCUCCAGUUUGAAAAAAUGUCUAACAAAGUCAAGUGUUGAAUACCAACCAAAUCUGUUACAGAACCAUUAACUAACACUUAGAAAGGCAAAGGCCACUUGCACACAAGAAGUAAAAAGAGAAAGGUGAAGAGAGGGUGGAAGAAAAACUUUUAAAGAUUGUUCAUGGAGGCUCGAGUGAUAUCUCAGCAAUUAAUGGAGGAUGGAGGGAUGUCUCCAUGAUUAAGAGCACUGGCUGCUCUUCCAGAGGACUCAUGUUCAGUCCUUAGCACUCACUUGGCAGCUCACCACCAGCUGUAACUCUAGUCCCAGGGUAUUUAACACCCCCUUCUGAGGUCCACAGAUACUGCACACAUGUAGUGCACAGAUAUACUUGUAGGCAAAACAUAUUUACAUGAGUCUUAAAUGCAAUAAAUAAAUAAAUAAAUAAAAUUACUCACAGAAGAAUAUUCUUGUGAGCUGAUUUCAAAUUGUUUUAUGAAGGAUGAAAUGUGGUCUCCUUUUUUGAUUUAAGUAAAAUAUAAGCUAGAGAAUGGGUCAAAGAAGACAAAUUUAUCUUCAAUAGUCAGUAAAAAGUAGUGUUGGAGCUAUUAAAAAAUAUAAUAAAGAUGUCUUCAAGCUCAUUGAAAAUGGAACACAUAUUAAAGAAGCAGCUAAAAGGAUGUGUCAGGCUGGAGUGAAUGAGUAAGUUGGAUAGGUGCUUCUUUAUGGGGCGAGAAAAUAGUGGGAAGCAAAUGAAAACAGUUCAAUGCACAGAUCUUCGAGAAGCUAACACAGUCACUCAAUGUUAGUUCAACAAAUUCUUUAAGACCUCACCUUUUGCCUGCCACUCAUGUGGUCCUUAGGAUACAAAACCCUACCCUCAGUUAACUCAUUUGGGUGGAAGAGCAGACUACCAGUCAGAACAACUGGUACGAAGCUGACGUGAGGAUUCACUAGGUCCUGUGGCUUGCGGUGCGCUUUAACGUAUCAGUUAGAACUUGCUCAAAAGAGUUGAAACGUUCAGUUCUGGAUGCUGUGUGAGGAAGAGUACAGAAGAUAUAGGAGGGAGAUGUUCAGAUCCAAUUUGCAAUGGGUCAAAUCAAGCCAGAUGUGGGAACAUGCCUGUGAUUUCAGCACUUGGUAAGUAGGAAUAGAGAUGUCAAGAUGUCAAGGCCUUCCUGAGUUACAGAGCAAGUUUGAGGUCAGCCUCGGCUACAUCAGACCCCGACUCAAACUCUGCUCCUUUCCAGCAGGAAAUUAAAUAUGGCUGUCCUGCAAAGGGUUGAUUUAUCCUGUAGUGCUGGGGGGAAUGGCAUAAGAUUUUGACUGGCAAUGACAUGGUCACAUGAACAGGGAAUUUUCAGCAGAUAAAUCUAAGGGUAGAGAGAGGAAUUUGGAGACCCAAGUGAGAGAGGAGAUUAACAACAACAAAAACCUUAAAAUAGAGCUGAGGUAAAAGACUGGGCUGGUGUGUGGAGGAGCAGAUGAACCCGGUGCUUGUGGAAAACAGAGAGGUGCUGCCACCACCGGGCAUUUCAGAGAUUUCUGGAGCAUUUUCUGGUUGUCAACAGUAAUUGGGAGCUUCUGGCAUUUAGUGGGAAGAGGCCAAGGAUAUUAGAAAUCCCAUAAUUAGACAGCAACUCCCUACAAUGAAGAAUUGUUCGGUCUUGAAUGACUUUCAAAUAUGUGUUCUUGUAGAUUAACCUCUGAAGCUUAGCCUAGAGUCGGAUCCAUUUCCCACUCAGUCGACAACAAACGCGUAUGGCAUCAUUUGAGCACAGCAAAUUUUCAGGAAGAAAGCUUUGUUGUUCUCCAGGAGAACAGAGGCUGUUUAGUCUGGAACUUGACCAAAACUACCGUGGAGAGCCAGGCCGCUCGCUCAGUUGACGGUGCCAGCACAGCUCAUCUGUGUCCAUCCCUCUUGUCUGGCGUUGGAGUUGUUUGCCAGUGUGAUGGCUCUUAAUGUGACGUGUAGGCUAUGUUAGGACGUUGGUUUCUAUUGGACUGAGGUCAGGAACUCCUACGGAACAGUUAGGAGGAGGAUUGAAGGAACUGAAGGGGAUGGCAACCACAUAGGAAGCCCAACAGUGUCAACUAACCUGGACCCCUAGGAGCUCCCAGAGACUGUCACCAACCAAAGAGCAUACAUGGGCUGGUCUGAGGCCUUGGCACAUAUGUAUCAGAGGACUGCCUUGUCUGGCUCAGGAUGCACCUAAUCCUUAGAGACUUGAUACUCUACGGAAGGGGAAUGCCGGGGUCAGGGGGGGUACACCCUCUCAGAGGCAAAGGAGAGGAAGAGGGGCAACACUUGGGAUGUAAAUAAAUAAAAUAAUUAAUUAAAAUAAAAGAAGUUGGUUUCUGCAUUCACCCAUAUAGUGAGGCGAGGUCCCUUAAAUCAUAGCUUAUUUGUAAGUGGGUGGAGAUUUAUUUCUAUUUCCUUAAACUCUGAUAAGCUCAUGCCCAAUAUUGGAUUGAAAAUUAUAUCUAUUAUAUAUAAGUUAUAUAUAUAUACACACACACAUACAUAUAUAUUGUCAUAUAUGUUAAUAGUUUAGUGAGAAGGUACAUUUUUAUUUACUACACGUGACUUUGUAUGGUAUUCAUUGUAAAAAAAAAAGAAAGAAAAGAAAAGAAACACUGAUUUCAGAAAAUUUGAAAACAACGUGUACAGAUGUCUAAGAGUUAGACUGCAACUCUGAACAAUUUAUUCCCUGUGGAUGUGAGAAUAUAGACAGGCUUAAUUUUGAAAUAGGCUAUUAUAGGGGAUAUCUAUAUUUUAAAUGAUGCAUAGUACGAAGUCUAACAGCUCUAGACUGAAGAGCCAGGCUCGUGUGUGAGGAAGCCGAAAAGAGGAGGGGAAACAGUGGAGUUCCCUGUUUGAGGAAGAACCUGCUUUGCCUGCUUAAACUUACUGUCUUGUAAAAGCAAGUCAUGGCAAAUGCUUAAGUAAUGUUGCCUCAUGUCUACUUAUUUAAAAAUAAUUGUGGUGCUUUUGUUUACUGGGUGAAUGCCUGCCACUGCCUGAGAGGGCCAGUCAGAGGACACCUAGCAGGAGUUACUUAAUAUCUUAUACUACAUGGAUCCUGGGGAUUGAACUCAGGUCAUGAGACUUGGCACCAAUCCCCCUUUACCUGCAGAACCGUUUUGCUGGCCCUUAUAUUCAUACCCAGUUUUUAAUGCAAGUUGAUUCUGCUUUGAAGACAGUACCGAGGAGCCUCCAUUUGUUUAGUUCUUGACCAAGAUGGGGGUCAAACCGAACAAGAAUCCAACCCAGUGUUAGGAAGGAGUAUUGCCAUUGUAAUGACCAUACAAAUUCAGUUUCUUUCAACCCUAUCUAAUACAGACGACAAAGACUUAUUAAUGUGCUUUUUUUUGUAGUACCCUCACUUUAACCUUCCAAAAAGAACUACCUCAAAGGCAGCAAUUUUCUCAUUCUGGCUCACUGGCGGGGUCUAGUAUGUGUCCAUCAGAGAUUUCAGGGCAUAUUUAAUGUAUUCUGCAAAUCUGAUUCCACAAGCUGAAGUACAUGAAUAUGAUGGCCCUGGGGUUGUCUGAAGUGCUCAGAUCUGACAUAUUGAGAAUUUUAUCUGAUUUAGUUUGGGUCUUCCAUAUAACAGCCAAAGGACCAUGUAUUUUGGAAUAGAAAUUUAUCAUAUGUUCAUGGCAGUGAAAGAAAAGGCUCAGGGCUAUUAACGAGGGAGCGUGAGGUCAAUCUAGGGUCAAGCCACAGGGCUGCACAGUGUGACUUAUGCUGAGGAAAAUCAGGUGCACUACAGAGUAGGUUGCAUUUACUGAACUCCAAUCAUAGCUGCUGGAGGGACCCAUGACCCCAGAAGGCUUUGGCCAAGAGCUAUUGAUGCAGUGAUAUUUACUAAGAAGCCUGUAUUGCCGUGGUGUGGAACCAAUGAGGCCCAGACACUGAACAGUCCACGCUCAUUCCAGGGCAGGGCUCCAUAUAUAGACAGUGACCGGAAAGCUGUAAUGCAGUCUGCCUGAGUGUGAGCACCACAUGACCCUACAACUCUGUCCAAUUCUUCAGACACUGAAAGGCUUCUCACCAUCUGCAACCAUAGGCACGAGGCAUAGUCAUGCCAAAAUUCAUCCAUGAUGCCCAAGCUUGGUGGUAAUGAAUUCUAAACUUUCACUGAAGAGUCCUGGGCUGUAUCUUAGGAGCAGAAAGUGCCUAGCAUAGUAAGAGACCCUGAUU